This 250-nucleotide ribosomal RNA is filed under the name uncultured prokaryote. RNAcentral's name for it is "partial 16S ribosomal RNA". It matches the Rfam family "Bacterial small subunit ribosomal RNA", at positions 524 to 773 of the family's 1533-position model. The record is from RNAcentral.
AACGUAGGAGACGAGCGUUAUCCGGAUUUACUGGGCGUAAAGCGCGUGCAGGAGGCAAUGCAAGUUGGAUGUAAAAUAUCCCGGCUUAACCGGGAGGGGUCGUUCGAGACUGCAUAGCUGGAGUAGUGGAGAGGUAAUCGGAACUCCGGGAGUAGCGGUGAAAUGCGUAGAUAUCCGGAAGAACACCAGAGGCGAAAGCGGAUUACUGGCCACCAACUGACACUAAGACGCGAAAGCCAGGGUAGCAAAC